UUAAGCGACUAAGCGUACACGGUGGAUGCCCUGGCAGUCAGAGGCGAUGAAGGACGUGCUAAUCUGCGAAAAGCGUCGGUAAGGUGAUAUGAACCGUUAUAACCGGCGAUGUCCGAAUGGGGAAACCCAGUGCAAUUCGUUGCACUAUCGUUAACUGAAUACAUAGGUUAACGAGGCGAACCGGGGGAACUGAAACAUCUAAGUACCCCGAGGAAAAGAAAUCAACCGAGAUUCCCCCAGUAGCGGCGAGCGAACGGGGAGCAGCCCAGAGUCUGAAUCAGCUUGUGUGUUAGUGGAACGGUCUGGAAAGUCCGACGGUACAGGGUGAUAGUCCCGUACACCAAAAUGCACAGGUUGUGAACUCGAAGAGUAGGGCGGGACACGUGGUAUCCUGUCUGAAUAUGGGGGGACCAUCCUCCAAGGCUAAAUACUCCUGACUGACCGAUAGUGAACCAGUACCGUGAGGGAAAGGCGAAAAGAACCCCGGCGAGGGGAGUGAAAAAGAACCUGAAACCGUGUACGUACAAGCAGUGGGAGCACCUUCGGGUGUGACUGCGUACCUUUUGUAUAAUGGGUCAGCGACUUAUAUUCUGUAGCAAGGUUAACCGUAUAGGGGAGCCGCAGGGAAACCGAGUCUUAACUGGGCGUUAAGUUGCAGGGUAUAGACCCGAAACCCGGUGAUCUAGCCAUGGGCAGGUUGAAGGUUGGGUAACACUAACUGGAGGACCGAACCGACUAAUGUUGAAAAAUUAGCGGAUGACUUGUGGCUGGGGGUGAAAGGCCAAUCAAACCGGGAGAUAGCUGGUUCUCCCCGAAAGCUAUUUAGGUAGCGCCUCGUGAAUUCAUCUUCGGGGGUAGAGCACUGUUUCGGCUAGGGGGUCAUCCCGACUUACCAACCCGAUGCAAACUACGAAUACCGAAGAAUGUUAUCACGGGAGACACACGGCGGGUGCUAACGUCCGUCGUGAAGAGGGAAACAACCCAGACCGCCAGCUAAGGUCCCAAAGUCAUGGUUAAGUGGGAAACGAUGUGGGAAGGCACAGACAGCCAGGAUGUUGGCUUAGAAGCAGCCAUCAUUUAAAGAAAGCGUAAUAGCUCACUGGUCGAGUCGGCCUGCGCGGAAGAUGUAACGGGGCUAAACCAUGCACCGAAGCUGCGGCAGCGACACUAUGUGUUGUUGGGUAGGGGAGCGUUCUGUAAGCCUGCGAAGGUGUGCUGUGAGGCAUGCUGGAGGUAUCAGAAGUGCGAAUGCUGACAUAAGUAACGAUAAAGCGGGUGAAAAGCCCGCUCGCCGGAAGACCAAGGGUUCCUGUCCAACGUUAAUCGGGGCAGGGUGAGUCGACCCCUAAGGCGAGGCCGAAAGGCGUAGUCGAUGGGAAACAGGUUAAUAUUCCUGUACUUGGUGUUACUGCGAAGGGGGGACGGAGAAGGCUAUGUUAGCCGGGCGACGGUUGUCCCGGUUUAAGCAUGUAGGCUGAUUGUCCAGGCAAAUCCGGAUAAUCAAGGCUGAGGUGUGAUGACGAGGCACUACGGUGCUGAAGUAACAAAUGCCCUGCUUCCAGGAAAAGCCUCUAAGCAUCAGGUAACAUUAAAUCGUACCCCAAACCGACACAGGUGGUCAGGUAGAGAAUACCAAGGCGCUUGAGAGAACUCGGGUGAAGGAACUAGGCAAAAUGGUGCCGUAACUUCGGGAGAAGGCACGCUGGUGUGUAGGUGAAGUCCCUGCGGAUGGAGCUGAGACCAGUCGAAGAUACCAGCUGGCUGCAACUGUUUAUUAAAAACACAGCACUGUGCAAACACGAAAGUGGACGUAUACGGUGUGACGCCUGCCCGGUGCCGGAAGGUUAAUUGAUGGGGUUAUCCGUAAGGAGAAGCUCUUGAUCGAAGCCCCGGUAAACGGCGGCCGUAACUAUAACGGUCCUAAGGUAGCGAAAUUCCUUGUCGGGUAAGUUCCGACCUGCACGAAUGGCGUAAUGAUGGCCAGGCUGUCUCCACCCGAGACUCAGUGAAAUUGAACUCGCUGUGAAGAUGCAGUGUACCCGCGGCAAGACGGAAAGACCCCGUGAACCUUUACUAUAGCUUGACACUGAACAUUGAGCCUUGAUGUGUAGGAUAGGUGGGAGGCUUUGAAGCGUGGACGCCAGUCUGCGUGGAGCCAACCUUGAAAUACCACCCUUUAAUGUUUGAUGUUCUAACGUUGGCCCCUUAUCGGGGUUGCGGACAGUGUCUGGUGGGUAGUUUGACUGGGGCGGUCUCCUCCCAAAGCGUAACGGAGGAGCACGAAGGUUAGCUAAUCCUGGUCGGACAUCAGGAGGUUAGUGCAAUGGCAUAAGCUAGCUUGACUGCGAGCGUGACGGCGCGAGCAGGUGCGAAAGCAGGUCAUAGUGAUCCGGUGGUUCUGAAUGGAAGGGCCAUCGCUCAACGGAUAAAAGGUACUCCGGGGAUAACAGGCUGAUACCGCCCAAGAGUUCAUAUCGACGGCGGUGUUUGGCACCUCGAUGUCGGCUCAUCACAUCCUGGGGCUGAAGUAGGUCCCAAGGGUAUGGCUGUUCGCCAUUUAAAGUGGUACGCGAGCUGGGUUUAGAACGUCGUGAGACAGUUCGGUCCCUAUCUGCCGUGGGCGCUGGAGAAUUGAGGGGGGCUGCUCCUAGUACGAGAGGACCGGAGUGGACGCAUCACUGGUGUUCGGGUUGUCAUGCCAAUGGCACUGCCCGGUAGCUAAAUGCGGAAGAGAUAAGUGCUGAAAGCAUCUAAGCACGAAACUUGCCCCGAGAUGAGUUCUCCCUGAGACUUUAAGUCUCCUGAAGGAACGUUGAAGACGACGACGUUGAUAGGCCGGGUGUGUAAGCGCAGCGAUGCGUUGAGCUAACCGGUACUAAUGAACCGUGAGGCUUAACCUU
This 2900-nucleotide ribosomal RNA is filed under the name Klebsiella pneumoniae. RNAcentral's name for it is "bacterial LSU rRNA". It matches the Rfam family "Bacterial large subunit ribosomal RNA". The record is from RNAcentral. Lineage: Bacteria; Pseudomonadati; Pseudomonadota; Gammaproteobacteria; Enterobacterales; Enterobacteriaceae.